This 253-nucleotide ribosomal RNA is filed under the name uncultured bacterium. RNAcentral describes it as "partial 16S ribosomal RNA". It matches the Rfam family "Bacterial small subunit ribosomal RNA", at positions 524 to 776 of the family's 1533-position model. The record is from RNAcentral.
UACAGAGGUCUCAAGCGUUGUUCGGAUUCAUUGGGCGUAAAGGGUGCGUAGGCGGCGCGGUAAGUCGGGUGUGAAAUUUCGAGGCUUAACUUCGAAACUGCAUUCGAUACUGCCGUGCUAGAGGACUGGAGAGGGGACUGGAAUUUACGGUGUAGCGGUGAAAUGCGUAGAUAUCGUAAGGAAGACCAGUGGCGAAGGCGGGUCUCUGGACAGUUCCUGACGCUGAGGCACGAAGGCCAGGGGAGCAAACGGG